Molecule: long non-coding RNA, 959 nt
Organism: Syngnathoides biaculeatus (alligator pipefish)
Lineage: Eukaryota; Metazoa; Chordata; Actinopteri; Syngnathiformes; Syngnathidae
Exons: 4
Source: RefSeq, a predicted model, not a curated record
GGAUUUGGAGCGGCAAGCCGUGUGGAUGAGUUUGCGGACCGGGUAGUUAUUUAAUGGAUUUAUUUCACCAUCUUGUCUGCGGUGUUAGUUGGUAACUAGUCAUGGGCAUCGGGCAGGCCGGUAGACUUCCGGAGGCGGCAGUCGGCCAGCGUCGCGACGGGACUCCCCGGCCACCGCUUUUGGUAGGAUGAGCUUCUUUCCUUCCCUUUUUUUUUUUAACAGGGAAGGCCCAGCACCCUGUCGUCGGUGAGACAGUUGAAGCGUGCCACUCGGGGCCGGCUGAGGCCAAGCACCCUCUGUCGCUUGGGUGCGCGCCAGGUCGUAAGUGGCGCAUCGGGCGACCCUCAGCGCCAAGCUUGGACUCUGGUUUUUUUUUUUUUGCCGGUUAAGUCUCCUCCCCCCCUUCAGCGGGCGACCGGAGCGCAUCCCUCCCUCCCACCCUCCGGUGUCCUGUCGACAGGCUCCUUUAAGCGGGGCAGCCUUUCACGCACCCCCGUCCCUCUUGCGCUUCUCUGGCUUGAGGAUGACGGUCUCUCAGCAAUUAGCGGAGCUCAGGCUGUCAGCUUUGUUGUUGGAACCCCUUGACCGUAAAAGCAGUUGUUAGAUUGGAAGCUAAGCAAGUUUGGCUUCUGGACAGUGGAUGAGAGCUUUGGGGUCUGUCGGAUAGGAGAAUUUGCACUUGAUUAGGUAAGUAAUUUGUUUCCAUGUGAGGUUUGACACCAUGCAAGAGACAACUUUUUGAUGUGCAAUGUUUUUAUUUUUGAUGUUUGUGGCUUCUAGUGGAAGGUAUUCUUGGAAAAGGGGAGAGUCAAAUAGCGGAGAAGAAUGUCGAGUGGAGUGUUUAACGUAAUCAUUAUUAUUAUGGUUUUUUUUCUUUGAUUGAAUGUCUUUGGGAGGAGGCGGUAAAGCAAGAAGGAUUUCACGUGACACAGCGGCCGCAGCCAGCGUCCCCCAAACAG